AACCUACGGGGGGCAGCAGUGGGGAAUAUUGGUCAAUGGGCGGGAGCCUGAACCAGCCAAGUCGCGUGAAGGAAGAAGGUACUUAGUAUUGUAAACCUCUUUUGUCGGGGAACAAAGGCGCCCACGGGUGGGCGGAUGAGUGUACCCGAAGAAAAAGCAUCGGCUAACUCCGUGCCAGCAGCCGCGGUAAUACGGAGGAUGCGAGCGUGAUCCGGAUUUAUUGGGUUUAAAGGGAGCGUAGGCGGACAGUCAAGUCAGUGGUAAAAAUG
This 269-nucleotide ribosomal RNA is filed under the name uncultured bacterium. RNAcentral describes it as "partial 16S ribosomal RNA". It matches the Rfam family "Bacterial small subunit ribosomal RNA", at positions 335 to 602 of the family's 1533-position model. The record is from RNAcentral.